CAGUCGCCGCGGGAAUACGUAGGGUGCAAGCGUUAAUCGGAAUUACUGGGCGUAAAGCGUGCGCAGGCGGUUGUGUAAGACAGGUGUGAAAUCCCUGGGCUUAACCUGGGAACUGCGCUUGUGACUGCACAGCUAGAGUAUGGCAGAGGGGGGUGGAAUUCCACGUGUAGCAGUGAAAUGCGUAGAGAUGUGGAGGAACACCGAUGGCGAAGGCAGCCCCCUGGGCCAAUACUGACGCUCAUGCACGAAAGCGUGGGGAGCAAACAGGAUUAGAUACCCCGUAGUCCCUGUCUCUUAUACA
This 301-nucleotide ribosomal RNA is filed under the name uncultured bacterium. RNAcentral's name for it is "partial 16S ribosomal RNA". It matches the Rfam family "Bacterial small subunit ribosomal RNA", at positions 509 to 808 of the family's 1533-position model. The record is from RNAcentral.